This 328-nucleotide unclassified non-coding RNA is filed under the name uncultured fungus. RNAcentral describes it as "sequence contains ITS2". Lineage: Eukaryota; Fungi. The record is from RNAcentral.
AACGCACCUUGCGCCCCUUGGUAUUCCGAGGGGCACACCCGUUUGAGUGUCGUGAAAAUCUCAACCUCCUCGGUUUCUUUUAGAUGCUGAAGGAGGCUUGGACUUUGGAGGGCUUUGCUGGACUUGAAAGGCCAGCUCCUCUCAAAUGAAUUAGCGAGGUUCCCUUUGCCGAUCCUCGACGUGUGAUAAGAUGCUUCCACGUCUUGGUCUUUGGCUCUGUCGCCUUUUGGGACCUGCUUCCAAUCGUCUCUUGACGAGACAACGUUCGAGCACGUCUCGACCACGUACCCUUGACCUCAAAUCGGGUGAGACUACCCGCUGAACUUAA